CCAACUUCGGCUCCAACGAUGAUGACGUCAGUACCAUGGUCUUUUCUCAUCUACCGCAUUAUCCACAAGUCUGUUAUUAUCUUGCUCCAGAUGGCUACUAGGGAAAAUGUCCAAGUCAACACGAUAGUUUAGUAGCAUCUAUCACUACAAUUAACGGCAAAUCCAUAUCUAUAAGGGUUUAGGGUUUAGGAUUUAGUAUUUGCCUGUUACUUUAGUCUUUAUAUGGCUUUUAAGAGAAUUUACAAAAGCACAAACGUGACAUCAUCACAUACAUGAUUAUAUCCAAACUUCUGAUAAAUCAAAAAGAAAAUCAUAGUGAAUAAACACAUUUCACAAUGAAUGAUGUCACUUCUUGUUUCGUGUUCCGUUU
This 370-nucleotide small RNA is filed under the name Arabidopsis thaliana (thale cress). Its description in RNAcentral is "ATSL255750". The record is from RNAcentral. Lineage: Eukaryota; Viridiplantae; Streptophyta; Magnoliopsida; Brassicales; Brassicaceae.